CGCGCAGAGAACUCCGGGGCCGAGGGGCUAUUUUUUCCCAUCGUAGCUCUGAGCUGCUUUUGGAAGCGGAAGGAGACAGAGGAUAUGGGCAUGUAUUGUUUAUACCUGUGUGGUGUCGUCAUGGGAACCUGGCGGGGGGAGGGGUCACGAGGCGUGAAGAUCAAGCCCCGCCCCCUGAGGGGCGAGGAGAAGUUAGACGCACAAAAGAGAAGUGGAGAGAGGCGGGUGAGGAGGCAUGGCUAGGCAAGUGUUUACCUGGUAUCCUGCGAAUGCCAAAUAAAUGCUGUUGGCCGAGUACAAGGUGCAGACUGUCUUCUGUGCAUGUGUCACAGCCCCCAGCACAGUACCACCAGCAUGACAGGCACACAGUGGAUGGAUGGAUGGAUGGAUGAACAGAAGGAGUCAAAUGGUCACCUCUGACAUUUACCUUCAUUUCAAAGGUCUCAAAACAUUUCUGUGGGCCCCUGGAAAGUCAUAGACCCUGGGCACCAUGCCCCACGUGCUCAACAGAACCCCCACACGAAUUCCAUGACUAAAGGACAGCAGCAUGGAAAUUAUACAUCAUCAGUCAUCCAGUGAUACAAAGAGGUGGCCAAUUGUCUUUGAAGUCACUUAUAAAGGAUCACCAAGCAGGCAGUGUUGCUUUUCUGCGAACAGAAGGAAAGUCGGCUCCAUGGUUCUUGAAGAUUUAUCCAAGCUUUCCACUGGGUGCCAAGACUUCUGUCCCAACCUCUCAGUCACCAUUUACAGCAAGAAAAGCCAGCAAGUGAAAAACUGUUAAUUUAUUGAUUCAAUGAAAGUUUUUUUUUUUUUCUUAAACAAUCCUCAGUACAUGUAGUUCAGGAUUAAGUAUCACAUUUGUAGCACAUUGUUGAGUCUCUACACAGAAGUACGCACCACCUGUGUAAUCCCAUCGCAUCCCUUUCUGCAGCCUGUACACCCCUGCUUGUGGUCAUUUUCAUUACCACAUCCAUGUCGCUCAAAAGCGCGCGUUAUUACUGGUCUCCUUAGCGAGAUGUAUCCCCGCCACCUCCCCUCCCCCAUUCCCACCCUGGGGUUAGAUUUUAAAGGCAGGACAUUAUCCAAUCUCAGAUUUACGAAGGUCACUGACAAACUUUGGUUUCUUGUGUGCUCAUGUGGACCCUGCUUUUGCGCUUUCGCAAGGGUUUCUAUUUCAAUGGCCUUGACUCUGAUCAGUUCCUAUUCACUCCCAUUUACGUCUAGGAGGGAAGUCUGCUUUUUCCUGUGGACGCUCAUGCGGUAGUAACACAGGUUUCUAAACAAAUCAUUUCAUCUCCACUGGCAUGAAAGGAAACCCUGAGGCCCAUUUCGAUGCACAUAUGAGAACUCUUCCAGUUGGUGUUUGUGUCCCACAAUAAAUCUACCUCCACCCUCAUGAAUGCCGCUCCUGGGAGAACCUGUCAUUUCCCUGAGUAGGCGCAGACUGAGACCCCACGGCCUCAGCGAGAGCACCACCUUCCAGCCCCACUGGAACCAAUCCAGGGGCAGUGCCCACCUCAGCGCACAUUCCAGAACAUGAACUCCAUGCCCCCUAGUUUUCUCCCCUGAAGUCAUGUUCCCUCCCCUCCAGCUCGACCUGUUGGCUCUUAUGGGUUCCGGUUCCCUUCUUUUAACAGCCCCCGACCCUGCUUCUCUCCCAGCCCCGAGGGAUUACAAGCUCUGAUUGAUCAGUCUGAGAGCACCUUCCUUCGCUGCAAGGAAACACAUUGGCUUUGAGCCUUGUGAGUACCGAGGUGCUAGAGAACGUGUUAGGAGACCCAGCGGAGUGAGUGAUGUUUAAGUGCCCCACAAAACUGGCAUUGGCACUCCUCUAAUUGGUAAGAAGACCCAGAAAUGCUUGGUCUGCGUUAUAAUUUGAUGGCUUCUCCCACCCAGUCGCCUGCCACAGGGACAGGAUAGGAUGGGAGGCCAACUGAUAUGAUCCAGGGGAGACUGAACUGCAAGCAAACCACAGAUGAAAAUAUUAACAGUUCUGUUCUCACCAUGGGAAUUCUCAGCUGAGGCAAAACCUUGUAGUUAUGCUCACUUGUGGUCAAUAGACUGAUAUACCGAUCUGUAUUUGGCAUAGGAACCUCCUGUUCUCACCAUACCAGGUCUAUGUUCCUGAACAUAGGCAGUACCUGAGAUGACAGUGUAACACUACCCUGUUCUCCACAUUUUUUUGCUUUUCUUUAGGAAGUAGUAAGUCCUAUCAUAGGCACUUUUAACCUGUUAUAAGGUAAUGAAGCGAACAAAAUGUCUAAUGAGAAUUACUGAGAUGAAUUUACGAAAUGCGCUGACUGAAAAGGACAGUGGGUGGGUAAAUAUACCACAGCUUAGUCUAAAUCAGACGAGACUCCCGCUCCUACACACACAUAUAUUCUCUCUCAUCCCUCUCCAUCCUAACUCAGGUAAAAAGAGAAAAAGGUCUGGACUGGACUCACUUCAGUUUGAGAAAAAACCACCUACAGUCACAGUCAGCCAGCAAGUUGGGUGUCAAGACCAGACUCAGAAAGGAGUAUUUUAAACUCAGUUCUGCUGUAUGUCUAAGGCAUGAAGAGAGGUAAAAGCAUAGGUGGUAGAAAAGUAAACUAUGCAUAAAAAGGAAGAGUUACUCCUGUGUUAAAGCUGCAGUUACAGAACCCAAGGACAGGCAGGUUAGCGUGUUUGCACCUAUUAAAUCAUGACCAAAGGAGAGCGAGGCACAAGUAAAUCGCCUGGCUCUUCUCCAGAUGCUUUUAUUGCCUCUGGGGACCCAAAGGAAAGAAACUGGGGCCACUUCACCCGGACCCUCCAGUAGGCUCCCCCUGCUGGUCUAGACAGGCAACUUAAAAAACAGUGGGGGGCUGGGAGAGGGCAUAGGGGACAGGGGAGGAGAUGAGAGGUAGGGGGCAGGAAAGACACACAGUGGCACAUCUCCCUGAUAAUAACCAACAGCUCAGUGUCGCCCUACAGGGCACAUUAGAAGGCUUCUGACAAUCCAGAACACUGAGCUGUGCUGCCUGACACAGCGAUAUAGGAUCAGCCAAGAGCUCGCGUCUUGUCUUUAAUUUUCAGGUAGAACAAAUGUAUACGUUAAUAUACACAAUGUGCAAUGCAGGCAGGUAGUAUUGGUAUAAGAACCUUAACUGAAUGCAUUUUCUGGCUUUGGGAUCUUAUUUUUAUUUUUUCAUCUGUAAGUUCAACUCUACAAUAAGAGUUUUAUUUGUAUUUUAAGUUCCCACCAACCAAAUGACAAAAAUAGAAUCUACUUUUAGAGAUAGGACCUGCUACCAAUACCAAUAUGAUUUUUAUUGGAAUAUGGAAUGUAAACAGAUGCUUUCAAACAAACAAUCUAACCUUAUUAAAAUGUAUGGCAUUAUUAAAUAGUUAAUAAAGAAAUCCUAAAGUGUGACGUGGUGGUAGACACCUCUAGCUCUUGCCUAGGUGUGUGAGGUCCCCACAGCUUGGCUCUGCAGCUGGGGUGAGGGGACUGCUUGCAAACCAUGUUGGUGACAAGUCCCCCAAAUGAAAUCAGCCCUAUUUUUAAUUUUUAAAAACAAACUCUAGCUUCCUUUGCUAACGUGAAGGCUAGCACAGCGGGUCCCAAGCUUUGAUACCUGCUCCCGGAGCCCCACUUCCUUCCCCAGGCCCCUGUGUUGUUCUCCUUGGUCGCUUGGGUUAUGGGGCGGCUGGCUCUGCCCACACAACUCCAGUCUCUGCACGUGAGACAUACUGUCUCUGCUGUCACAUUCAUGUAUUACCUAUCAGAGCUUAAAAAAUGCAGAUUACCCUGAUUAUUUGGAAAUUAAGUGGGAAAUUAUUUCUCAUGGGGACAAAAAGAGGCAAAAGGGGGGUGGGGGAAAAGACAUUUUUUUCACCCAAUAGGUCAUUCCUUAAUACAUUCUAAGAGGACAUUUUUCUCCCUUCCUGACCUGCCUAAAGGCUGACUUCCAGCUUUAGUUAUGGUUGUGAACAAAACGUCUGUUUUAGAGAGAAGAGUUAAAGUAGGUGCACACACAGGGGUGUGCUGGGAAAUGGUAAGGUUUCCAUACAAGGCUGCCAAAAAAAAAAAAAAAAAAAAAGC
Hipposideros armiger (great roundleaf bat) is the source of this 4066-nucleotide long non-coding RNA. RefSeq lists it as uncharacterized. The record is from RefSeq and is a predicted model, not a curated record. NCBI's taxonomy places the organism in Eukaryota, Metazoa, Chordata, Mammalia, Chiroptera, Hipposideridae. The transcript is spliced from 4 exons.